AUGGAGGUGCCCGGGGCUGCCCCUCAGCCGAACUUGGGGCUGGUCCUGGAAAAGCUGUGCAGGACUGCAGCAGCAUUGCCUGAAGACCUGAGACCGGGACCUGGUUUUCCGUCGGAAUCGGUGAUAUGUGCGGCUAUUACUGGAUUUUUUAUUCUCUUGCUUUUGUGGAGAAGCAUUCAAUCGGUUAGAAGCCGGCUUUAUGUAGGAAGAGAGAAAAAGCUUGCUGAAAAGCUUUCUGGGCUAAUUGAAGAAAAAUGUAAACUUCUCGAAAAAUUUAGCAUUGUUCAAGAGGAGUAUGAAGGCUUAGAGUCAGCUUUGAAGGAUGCAAGCUUUGAGAAGGAGUCGACAGAAGCACAAAGUUUGGAGGCAACCUAUGAAAAGCUGAACAGGUCCAAAUCUAAACUUGAGGAUGAAACAGUCUUUCUAGCAAAAGAAUUAAAAGAACAGAAAUCUAAACAUUCUGAGCAAGAUGAAUUGAUGGCAGAUAUUUCAAAAAGGAUACAGUCCCUAGAAGAUGAAGCAAAAUCCAUCAAGUCACAAGUAGCUGAAGCCAAAAUAAUCUCCAAAAUAUUUCAAAUGAAUGAAGAAUGUCUGAAGGUGGCAAUAAAAGAUGCCUUGAAUGAAAAUUCCCAACUUCAGGAAAGCCAGAAACAGCUUUUACAAGAGGCUGAAGUAUUAAAAGAACAAGUGAGUGAACUUAAUAAACAGAAAAUAACAUUUGAAGACUCCAAAGUACAUGCAGAACAAGUUUUAAGUGAUAAAGAAAACCACAUCAAGUCUCUGACUGAACACUUGCUCAAGAUGAAAGACUGGGCUGCUGUGCUUGGAGAAGACAUAACGGAUGAUGACUUGGAAUUGGAAAUGAAGAGUGAAUCACAAAAUGGUGCUCACUUAGGUGAUCAGCCAAAAGGAGCUUUGAAGAAACUGAUUCACGCUGCUAAGUUAAAUGCUUCUUUAAAAUCCCCAGAAGAAGAAAGAAACCGAAUUCACACUCGGUUAUCUGAAGUAGAUAAAACAAAGGAAGAGCUUACAGAGCAUAUUAAAAAUCUCCAGACUGAAAAAGCCUCUUUACAGUCAGAAAACACACAGUUGGAAAGUGAAAAUCAGAAGCUUCAGCAGAAACUUAAAGAGAUGACUGAACUGUAUCAAGAAAAUGGAAUGAAACUCCACAGGAAAUUAAUAGUAGAGGAAAAUUACCGGUUAGAGAAGGAGGAGAAACUUUCCAAAGUAGAAGAAAAGAUCAGCCAUGCAGUUGAAGAACUGGAGACCUACAGAAGGCGAGCCAAAGACGUUGAAGAAAAAUUGGAGCGAACCAUUCGUUCUUAUCAAGGGCAGAUGACUUCCUAUGAGAAAGAAGCGCAUGAUAAUUGGUUGGCAGCUGAGACUGCUGAAAGACACCUCAGUUAUUUAAGGAAAGGAAAUGUUUACAAGAGACAAAAAUUAAUGGAAGAAGAGUUUAAAUUUGAACUUAUGGGUGGUAUGCAUUAA
This is an RNA transcript of Galeopterus variegatus (Sunda flying lemur), 1488 nucleotides long. It is a transcript of the gene named cTAGE family member 5 pseudogene, with no coding region annotated. The transcript has a single exon. NCBI's taxonomy places the organism in Eukaryota, Metazoa, Chordata, Mammalia, Dermoptera, Cynocephalidae. The record is from RefSeq and is a predicted model, not a curated record.